Molecule: ribosomal RNA, 699 nt
Filed under: Lysinibacillus xylanilyticus
Lineage: Bacteria; Bacillati; Bacillota; Bacilli; Caryophanales; Bacillaceae
Description: bacterial LSU rRNA
Rfam family: Bacterial large subunit ribosomal RNA
Source: RNAcentral
CCGAAGCUGUGGAUUGACAUCUACGAUGUCAGUGGUAGGAGAGCGUUCUAAGUGCGUUGAAGUCAGACCGGAAGGACUGGUGGAGCGCUUAGAAGUGAGAAUGCCGGUAUGAGUAGCGAAAGACGGGUGAGAAUCCCGUCCACCGUAUGACUAAGGUUUCCUGAGGAAGGCUCGUCCGCUCAGGGUUAGUCGGGACCUAAGCCGAGGCCGAUAGGCGUAGGCGAUGGACAACAGGUUGAUAUUCCUGUACCACCUCCUCACCGGUUGAGAAAUGGGGGGACGCAGUAGGAUAGGGUAAGCGCGCUGUUGGAUAUGCGCGUCCAAGCAGUAAGGCGUGUGUGUAGGCAAAUCCGCACACUGUAACGUUGAGCUGUGAUGGCGAGUCCGUAUGGACGAAGUUCCUGAUUUCACACUGCCAAGAAAAGCCUCUAUCGAGGUGAGAGGUGCCCGUACCGCAAACCGACACAGGUAGUCGAGGAGAGAAUCCUAAGGUGUGCGAGAGAACUCUCGUUAAGGAACUCGGCAAAAUGACCCCGUAACUUCGGGAGAAGGGGUGCUCUUGAGCGUGCAAGCGCAUGAGAGCCGCAGUGAAUAGGCCCAGGCGACUGUUUAGCAAAAACACAGGUCUCUGCAAAACCGUAAGGUGACGUAUAGGGGCUGACGCCUGCCCGGUGCUGGAAGGUUAAGAGGAGUGGUUAG